This is a non-coding RNA of Erythranthe guttata (spotted monkey flower), 186 nucleotides long. Lineage: Eukaryota; Viridiplantae; Streptophyta; Magnoliopsida; Lamiales; Phrymaceae. The record is from RefSeq and is a predicted model, not a curated record.
UUGUUUUAUUUUAUUUAUUUAUUUUAUAAGCAUGCAAGCUAAUUAAAUAAGCAAUUUUUUUUUUCAGGGGUCAAAGUGCAAUUUUGCACUUCACACGGCCGCACCAAAAAAGGCUUGAAUCCAGCACGGCCGUGUGGAAAAUCGGAGAGGCUACUGCCCAGAAUUCAAGUUUCGCACGGCCGUGCG